Molecule: ribosomal RNA, 254 nt
Filed under: uncultured bacterium
Lineage: Bacteria
Description: partial 16S ribosomal RNA
Rfam family: Bacterial small subunit ribosomal RNA
Source: RNAcentral
UACAGAGGAGCCAAGCGUUGUCCGGAUUUAUUGGGCGUAAAGAGCUCGUAGGCGGCUUGGCAAGUCGGGUGUGAAACCUCCAGGCUCAACCUGGAGACGCCACUCGAUACUGCUAUGGCUAGAGUCCGGUAGGGGACCACGGAAUUCCUGGUGUAGCGGUGAAAUGCGCAGAUAUCAGGAGGAACACCGGUGGCGAAGGCGGUGGUCUGGGCCGGCACUGACGCUGAGGAGCGAAAGCGUGGGUAGCAAACAGG